UUUCAGCCCAUCUCUUACAAUAGGCAUCUCAAACUCAGAUCAUGGGGGCCCUUGUAUCUGCUGGUUGCGUACCUGCGCCUAAGUGCUUUAUUUAAGUCACUGAUUGGCUAAAUUGGCUGCUGAUUGAAAGAAGAUUGUGCUGAAAACCAGCGGGUACUGUGGCCAUCCAGGACUGAAGUUUGAGAUGCCAGCCUAACAAAGAGUAUCGCCUACCGGUAGCUACAGGUAGCUGACAAUGUUGUGCCUCUGAUUGGCAGAUUGUUUGGUGAGCCAUCUGCGAGGCUGUUUGUGCUUGCCUCCAACUUUAAUGUCUCUGCGGUUGUUUUAGAGCUGUCUUUGUGCGCAUGCAAUAUCGGUCCUGUAGUAGAAGUGAACACGGCACUUCCAGGCAAAAAUCAGAAGGGUCCCAUGGAAGCUGUGGCUUUUAAUUUGACAACAACAUUGGAAACCCACACAAGGAGGAGGGGCCUGGAGCUCAGAUUUGUUUACCGUGAGAACAGGGGAGCAGGACUUGGUCAUACCCACUCAAGGCCACGCAGAAGAUGAUGGCCGUCACAUCCUCAAAGCAGUGGAUCCACUUCUUCCUCUCUGACCUUUGACCUCCCACAUCAAACAGCCUGGCAGUCCCAGUGUGUCCAUGGCUCGGAUGAUGGCCGCCAGGGACUGGAUGGUGUUGCUGUAGACCACGGGCUUGUACUGCUUCACAUCGUCGCCAGAGAAACCGUCCUCAUGGAUGAUUCUGCACACACACACACACACACACACACACUGUCACAGCGCAUCCCUGAUCCCUCUGCCCAAAAGCAUUCCUCUCAUCUUUAUCUCUGUUCCUCCUCUCAUCUCUCUUUCUCUCAGACAUUUCGUAUUUGUGAUAUUGGUACAUCUCUUGGAACGUGGAGAGAAACAUUAACUGACUUUGGUGUGGCUUAAGUGUGAGGUGCUGUGGAAGGUCUGGAGAAAUACCUGGCAUAGUCAUACAUCUGUCAGUCAGCUGCUGUUUCCAUAUCGAUGUCCAAUCAAAUUUAUCCUGGACAAAAACACCUACAACUGGCGUGUAGAACACCCACCAGGGCUGUGUCAGAAACAGCCUCCGAACUACUCUGUCCUCAAAAUAUAUGCUGUCUACUAAACAUACUGCCUACUGUUUAGUGUAUACUUUGUAGUACACAAUGGAGAGCAUGUGGAAAAAUAUCCUCCACACUAUUUUCCAGCGGCACUGUGGAAGUGUAAGACGUCCCGCCCUUGUAGUAAAAAGGCCCCGCCUCUUCCUCUCUGAUGUAUGGGACCCAAACAUGGCUCCACCUCUUCAGAGGUGUGGGACCUCCUAAAAAGUAUGGUUUACUUUCUGGAAAGUGUGCUCCCAGAUGCACUCAGUGAAACCCAGAGAUCAUCCAGGGAUUUUAAAUACCCUACAUUUAGAGAAAAUUUCUCCCACUUAACAACUUUUUCUUCCAGUGUACAAAACAUAUACUCAAUAGUAGGCAAGUCAGCUGUUUUGGACAAGGCCAUGGAUAAUUUACUCAAGGAAAAGGGUAAUCACAUAACUAAACUGACCCACACGCAAGGACUAUGAAAUAUUGUUGCAAUAGUGUUAUCCCAGUAAAGUUUCCCCUGAGCCGUAUGAACACAUAGACUUGCCCCGACCCCAUCUGAACUACAAAUUAGAACUGAGCCAGAGGUUUGGUGCCGGCACAUCAGCGGAAAACCUUAGCGCUCAGCGUGGAACGGCGCUGUCUAGCUCACCCCCCAGGAUGAGCCUUAAGAGCUGCAGCUCUCUGGAUACCGGCUGAAUUUAUUUUAGGAAUUU
Anguilla rostrata (American eel) is the source of this 1807-nucleotide long non-coding RNA. RefSeq lists it as uncharacterized. The transcript has 3 exons. The record is from RefSeq and is a predicted model, not a curated record. NCBI's taxonomy places the organism in Eukaryota, Metazoa, Chordata, Actinopteri, Anguilliformes, Anguillidae.